GAAGAACGCUGGCGGCGUGCUAAUACAUCCAAGUCGGAUUUACACAGCGAAAGGUGCUUGCACCUUUCAUUUGAGUGGCGAACGGGUGAGUAACACGUGGACAACCUGCCUCAAGCGCUGGGGAUAACAUUUGGAAACAGAUGCUAAUACCGAAUAAAACUUAGUGUCGCAUGACACAAAGUUAAAAGGCGCUUCGGCGUCACUAGAGAUGGAUCCUGCGGUGCAUUAGUUAGUUGGUGGGGUAACAGUGACAUACC
This 257-nucleotide ribosomal RNA is filed under the name Leuconostoc mesenteroides. RNAcentral describes it as "partial 16S ribosomal RNA". It matches the Rfam family "Bacterial small subunit ribosomal RNA", at positions 28 to 269 of the family's 1533-position model. Lineage: Bacteria; Bacillati; Bacillota; Bacilli; Lactobacillales; Lactobacillaceae. The record is from RNAcentral.